Gallus gallus (chicken) is the source of this 512-nucleotide long non-coding RNA. RefSeq lists it as uncharacterized. The transcript has 3 exons. Lineage: Eukaryota; Metazoa; Chordata; Aves; Galliformes; Phasianidae. The record is from RefSeq and is a predicted model, not a curated record.
CACUUUGGGUCAGACUGUCGUUGAGUUUAUAGAGAGAGCCCUGCUUCUUAACACUGAUGGAUUUGUCCUGAGAAUAAUGAAGGCACGGAGACCAGGACCAGGAUUUAAGCAAAUACAACAGCACAGCACAAGUGACAAGCUCCCCUGCAUUGCAGCAUAAAUCUUGGCCACACGUGACCUGUCUUUUGCUUUUUUCCUUCUGACUUGGUGUGAGGACAAGGGGAUGAUGAUUCUGUCUCUUCUCUCGCCCUAGAGGAGAACAGAUCUGCUAAGAGAGGAGGAAGAUAACUUCUGUACUGGCAAUUGAAGGACACUUUUAAUAUUCUCAGAUUUACCAAGUCAAUGAUAUUAAAUCCCAGUUUAUACAGCAAUGUUUUUCAUGUGAGUGUGUUCUCAUCACUCCUUCUCCUAGUAAAUCCUGUGUUACACUUAUUUUUUGCUACCUUUUACAAUAUCCAUCUGCUUUCAAUUCCUUUAUUGCUACUGGGAAAUCAAACUAGUUCAUGAUUUUU